GAACUAGACAUGCAAAACGGUCUCAAAUUGAUGCUGCCAAGUUCUUGUUAGUGCAGGGACCAAACUGCGAACCUGCAGGGACUGGAUUGCGAACCUGCAGGGACUGAUCUGUGAACUGUUAGACUGCAAUGCAGUUUUCAAUUUUUGAAGGGCUAAGUAAGGAAAAGCUGAGAAGUGAAGUACCAGCUUGGGAAAACCUGGUGGGCUGAAGAAGAAAUUUGAUCCCAGCAAUAAACCUCUGCUGAUUGGAGUUACUACAAGACCUGGAAAGCAUAUAAUCAAGUUCAUGGUGCUGCCGAAAUGCAAAGUGGAUUAAUUGAUGCUGCAAGCAAGUUUAUUCAGCAUCAAAUUAAAAUUGGAGCUGAAAGAGAAUUGAUCCAUAAAAGGAUUCAUUGCUGCUGAAAUUUUAGAUUGCAAAUGGAGAUUUGAGGCUUUUGAGAUAGUAAAAGCUGAAUAGAAUUGAAGAAGUACUAAAUCAAGGGGGCUGCACAAGGAGAAGAAGUAGUGCUGAAAUUCUGCACAUAGUGCAGAAUUUCAGCCUUAGAGAUUCCUGCUGUGGAGCUUCUUUGGUAAUUCAAGCUGCAACAAAUUUGGAGCUUGGAAUUUAGUAAGCUGUAAAGGAGAGGGUGUGGUGCUGGAAUUUCAGCACUACGCAAAAUUUCAGCAUGAAACAGAUUUUAGUAAAAGCU
Long non-coding RNA from Ananas comosus (pineapple), 689 nucleotides. RefSeq lists it as uncharacterized. The transcript has 5 exons. NCBI's taxonomy places the organism in Eukaryota, Viridiplantae, Streptophyta, Magnoliopsida, Poales, Bromeliaceae. The record is from RefSeq and is a predicted model, not a curated record.